AGUGAACGCUGGCGGUAGGCCUAACACAUGCAAGUCGAACGGCAGCACAGUAAGAGCUCGCUCUUACGGGUGGCGACUGGCGGACGGGUGAGGAAUACAUCGGAAUCUACUUUUUCGUGGGGGAUAACGUAGGGAAACUUACGCUAAUACCGCAUACGACCUACGGGUGAAAGCAUGGGAUCUUCGGACCUUGCGCGAUUCAAUGAGCCGAUGUCGGAUUAGCUAGUUGGCGGGGUAAAGGCCCACCAAGGCGACGAUCCGUAGCUGGUCUGAGAGGAUGAUCAGCCACACUGGAACUGAGACACGGUCCAGACUCCUACGGGAGGCAGCAGUGGGGAAUAUUGGACAAUGGGCGCAAGCCUGAUCCAGCCAUACCGCGUGGGUGAAGAAGGCCUUCGGGUUGUAAAGCCCUUUUGUUGGGAAAGAAAAGCAGCAGGUUAAUACCCCGCUGUUCUGACGGUACCCAAAGAAUAAGCACCGGCUAACUUCGUG
Molecule: ribosomal RNA, 492 nt
Filed under: uncultured bacterium
Lineage: Bacteria
Description: partial 16S ribosomal RNA
Rfam family: Bacterial small subunit ribosomal RNA
Source: RNAcentral